AUUGAACGCUGGCGGCAGGCUUAACACAUGCAAGUCGAGCGGGGUGAUGGUGCUUGCACUAUCACUUAGCGGCGGACGGGUGAGUAAUGCUUAGGAAUCUGCCUAUUAGUGGGGGACAACAUCUCGAAAGGGAUGCUAAUACCGCAUACGUCCUACGGGAGAAAGCAGGGGAUCACUUGUGACCUUGCGCUAAUAGAUGAGCCUAAGUCGGAUUAGCUAGUUGGUGGGGUAAAGGCCUACCAAGGCGACGAUCUGUAGCGGGUCUGAGAGGAUGAUCCGCCACACGGGGACUGAGAGACGGCGCGGACUCCUACGGGAGGCAGCAGUGGGGAAUAUUGGACAAUGGGGGGAACCCUGAUCCAGCCAUGCCGCGUGUGUGAAGAAGGCCUUAUGGUUGUAAAGCACUUUAAGCGAGGAGGAGGCUCUUUUGGUUAAUACCCAAGAUGAGUGGACGUUACUCGCAGAAUAAGCACCGGCUAACUCUGUGCCAGCCGCCGCCGUAA
This 503-nucleotide ribosomal RNA is filed under the name uncultured bacterium. RNAcentral's name for it is "partial 16S ribosomal RNA". It matches the Rfam family "Bacterial small subunit ribosomal RNA", at positions 30 to 523 of the family's 1533-position model. The record is from RNAcentral.